CGGCCCCGAGCGCGGGCUCGGGGGCCCUGGCCCGGCCAAAACGCCCGUUGGCCCCUCUCAGAAGUUUGGCUUGUCCUCGAAACAAAUCCUUCUGCCCCACCCCCUUGAAAAAUUGAUUUGGGAGUUGGGGAAUGAAGGCUUUCUUUUUUCGUCCUUGCCUUCUUCGUUAUUAAUAUUUUGUAAAGCUCCAGCGCUGAGAGGAGUGGCCCCAAACGAGGCCAGACUGCGCGGACGGCGGGGAGCGCUGCAGCUCCAGGGGACGGCGCCGUCCGGGGACCCCGACUGCCGGCCGAGGUCUACCACUACUUCCACGCAUUGUGUAAACGACUUUCAAGCAACCCCGCAAGGUGGGUAUUUCUCCCCAUUUUGCAGACGUGGAAACUGGAAGUCAGGAGCUGGACCUGGACUCGGGCCUCCCUGACGUCACGCAUUUAGGCUGGAUUCAUUUUCACCAGUGAUGACAUCCAUAUAAAAUAAGUAUCAACUCCAGAGUAAGAUGGAAAUCGCAACAGGAAGAAUAUUGAGCCGGUUUCUAGGCUGUGCCUCCGCCCCGAUUGCGCAAUCCGUCCCAGCAAACACCUGCCCGGGGCAAUGCCAGGGGAUGCAGCCCGCAGCGUCAGCCCUCCCUGCCUCCUCGAAUACUCAGGGAUGGUGUGAGCACCUUCGCUUCCUACGGGUCCGAUCUCUGUCGGGACCACUACAAUCCUCUCGGGCACCAGCGGGUGUGACUAAGGGCUGCCUCUGGAGUCAGACUCCACCUACGUCCCGCUCCACCUGAGAUGCCGUGUGACCUUGGCAAGGAGCGUCACCUCUCUGUGCUUCGGUCUCCUCACCUGUAGCACAGGGCAGCACCUGUCCCCACCUCCACAGGCGGUCAGAGGAAUCGAUAGCACCAUACCCGGCACACGCUAAGCCGCCAAUAAA
Molecule: long non-coding RNA, 924 nt
Organism: Myotis lucifugus (little brown bat)
Lineage: Eukaryota; Metazoa; Chordata; Mammalia; Chiroptera; Vespertilionidae
Exons: 3
Source: RefSeq, a predicted model, not a curated record